RNAcentral lists this small nucleolar RNA (72 nucleotides) under Procavia capensis (Cape rock hyrax). Its description in RNAcentral is "Small nucleolar RNA SNORD5 (ENSPCAG00000019005.1)". It matches the Rfam family "Small nucleolar RNA SNORD5". The record is from RNAcentral. Lineage: Eukaryota; Metazoa; Chordata; Mammalia; Hyracoidea; Procaviidae.
GUUCACAUGAUGGAUUUAAUUGUUCAACUGCUGAAGGAUAUAAACAUGAACUAAAACUACAUUCUGACUGAG